CAAAUUAGAGCUUGUAAAGUAAAGCAUUUUAUUUACAUUAAAAAGUUGUUGUGCAAAUCAAUAUAAUUUGA
RNAcentral lists this transfer RNA (71 nucleotides) under Cicindela puritana. Its description in RNAcentral is "tRNA-Val". The record is from RNAcentral. Lineage: Eukaryota; Metazoa; Arthropoda; Insecta; Coleoptera; Carabidae.